This 136-nucleotide ribosomal RNA is filed under the name Fukomys damarensis (Damara mole-rat). The record is from RNAcentral. Lineage: Eukaryota; Metazoa; Chordata; Mammalia; Rodentia; Bathyergidae.
GUCUACAGCCACAGCACUCUGAACACACCCGAUCUUGUCUGAUCUCAGAAGCUAAUCAGGGUCGGGCCUGGUUAGUUCUUGGAAGGGAGAAUCUAUAUCCCCAAGAUUGUUCUCAGCUUCAAGAAUGCCUUAGACA